UUAGAGUUUGAUUCUGGCUCAGGAUGAACGCUAGCGGCAGGCUUAACACAUGCAAGUCGAGGGGCAGCAUGUCCAGCAAUGGAUGAUGGCGACCGGCGGAAGGGUGCGUAACGCGUGAGCAACAUGCCCUAUACAGGGAGAUACACCAGGGAAACUUGGUCUAAUAUCCCAUAGCAUUCAUUGAAGGCAUCUUUAAUGAAUUAAAGCUUCGGUGGUAUAGGAUUGGCUCGCGUGACAUUAGCCAGAUGGUGAGGUAACGGCUCACCAUAGCAAUGAUGUCUAGGGGUUUUGAGAGGAAGGCCCCCCACACUGGGACUGAGACACGGCCCAGACUCCUACGGGAGGCAGCAGUGAGGAAUAUUGGACAAUGGAUGGAAAUCUGAUCCAGCCAUGCCGCGUGCAGGAAGACGGCCUUAUGGGUUGUAAACUGCUUUUAUACGGGAGCAAUAAGGGUUACGAGUAAUCCGAUGAGAGUACUGUAUGAAUAAGGAUCGGCUAACUCCGUGCCAGCAGCCGCGGUAAUACGGAGGAUCCGAGCGUUAUCCGGAUUUAUUGGGUUUAAAGGGUGCGUAGGCGGAAAUGUAAGUCAGUGGUGAAAUCCUGCAGCUUAACUGUAGAAUAGCCGUUGAAACUGUGUUUCUUGAGUACAUUUGAGGUAGGCGGAAUGUGGUGUGUAGCGGUGAAAUGCAUAGAUAUACCACAGAACACCGAUUGCGAAGGCAGCUUACUAAACUGUCACUGACGCUGAUGCACGAAAGCGUGGGUAUCAAACAGGAUUAGAUACCCCGGUAGUCCACGCUGUAAACGAUGAUUACUGGUUGUUUGCGAUACACUGCAAGUGACUGAGCGAAAGCAUCAAGUAAUCCACCUGGGGAGUACGUCGGCAACGAUGAAACUCAAAGGAAUUGACGGGGGCCCGCACAAGCGGAGGAACAUGUGGUUUAAUUCGAUGAUACGCGAGGAACCUUACCUGGGUUUAAAUGGGGAGUGACAGGCUUGGAAACAGGCCCUUCUUCGGACACUCUUCAAGGUGCUGCAUGGUUGUCGUCAGCUCGUGCCGUGAGGUGUCGGGUUAAGUCCCAUAACGAGCGCAACCCCUAUCGAUAGUUACCAGCACGUUACGGUGGGGACUCUAUCGAGACUGCCGGUGUAAACCGUGAGGAGGGGGGGGAGGACGUCAAAUCAGCACGGCCCUUACAUCCAGGGCUACACACGUGUUACAAUGGCCGGUACAAAGGGCAGCUACACAGCGAUGUGAUGCUAAUCUCCAAAUCCGGUCUCAGUUCGGAUCGAAGUCUGCAACCCGACUUCGUGAAGCUGGAUUCGCUAGUAAUCGCGCAUCAGCCAUGGCGC
This 1353-nucleotide ribosomal RNA is filed under the name uncultured bacterium. RNAcentral's name for it is "bacterial SSU rRNA". It matches the Rfam family "Bacterial small subunit ribosomal RNA", at positions 1 to 1360 of the family's 1533-position model. The record is from RNAcentral.